Molecule: ribosomal RNA, 464 nt
Filed under: Vreelandella stevensii
Lineage: Bacteria; Pseudomonadati; Pseudomonadota; Gammaproteobacteria; Oceanospirillales; Halomonadaceae
Description: partial 16S ribosomal RNA
Rfam family: Bacterial small subunit ribosomal RNA
Source: RNAcentral
CCUACGGGCGGCUGCAGUGGGGAAUAUUGGACAAUGGGCGAAAGCCUGAUCCAGCCAUGCCGCGUGUGUGAAGAAGGCCUUCGGGUUGUAAAGCACUUUCAGUGGGGAAGAAAGCCUUGGGGCUAAUACCCUCGAGGAAGGACAUCACCCACAGAAGAAGCACCGGCUAACUCCGUGCCAGCAGCCGCGGUAAUACGGAGGGUGCGAGCGUUAAUCGGAAUUACUGGGCGUAAAGCGCGCGUAGGCGGUCUGAUAAGCCGGUUGUGAAAGCCCCGGGCUCAACCUGGGAACGGCAUCCGGAACUGUCAGGCUAGAGUGCAGGAGAGGAAGGUAGAAUUCCCGGUGUAGAGGUGAAAUGCGUAGAGAUCGGGAGGAAUACCAGUGGCGAAGGCGGCCUUCUGGACUGACACUGACGCUGAGGUGCGAAAGCGUGGGUAGCAAACAGGAUAGAUACCCUGGUAGUC